Molecule: ribosomal RNA, 718 nt
Filed under: uncultured bacterium
Lineage: Bacteria
Description: bacterial SSU rRNA
Rfam family: Bacterial small subunit ribosomal RNA
Source: RNAcentral
GGCGGCAGGCCUAACACAUGCAAGUCGAGCGGUAGAGAGAAGCUUGCUUCUCUUGAGAGCGGCGGACGGGUGAGUAAUACCUAGGAAUCUGCCUGAUAGUGGGGGAUAACGUUCGGAAACGGACGCUAAUACCGCAUACGUCCUACGGGAGAAAGCAGGGGACCUUCGGGCCUUGCGCUAUCAGAUGAGCCUAGGUCGGAUUAGCUAGUUGGUGAGGUAAUGGCUCACCAAGGCUACGAUCCGUAACUGGUCUGAGAGGAUGAUCAGUCACACUGGAACUGAGACACGGUCCAGACUCCUACGGGAGGCAGCAGUGGGGAAUAUUGGACAAUGGGCGAAAGCCUGAUCCAGCCAUGCCGCGUGUGUGAAGAAGGUCUUCGGAUUGUAAAGCACUUUAAGUUGGGAGGAAGGGCAGUUACCUAAUACGUGAUUGUCUUGACGUUACCGACAGAAUAAGCACCGGCUAACUCUGUGCCAGCAGCCGCGGUAAUACAGAGGGUGCAAGCGUUAAUCGGAAUUACUGGGCGUAAAGCGCGCGUAGGUGGUUUGUUAAGUUGAAUGUGAAAUCCCCGGGCUCAACCUGGGAACUGCAUCCAAAACUGGCAAGCUAGAGUAUGGUAGAGGGUAGUGGAAUUUCCUGUGUAGCGGUGAAAUGCGUAGAUAUAGGAAGGAACACCAGUGGCGAAGGCGACUACCUGGACUGAUACUGACACUGAGG